Non-coding RNA from Pimephales promelas (fathead minnow), 260 nucleotides. The record is from RefSeq and is a predicted model, not a curated record. Lineage: Eukaryota; Metazoa; Chordata; Actinopteri; Cypriniformes; Leuciscidae.
GCGAAAGUCGUUGCAGUCUCAGACAAACGAACAUUGAGCUGUUUUAACGACAAGCCAGAGCUGUUUUAUCCGCUGAUCCUAGUGUUGAAGAGGACACUCGAUACUCACCAAACUGUUUCUUGCCUGCAAAUGUGUGACGCGCGAGGUUGUCUGCGCCGUCUAUGGUCUGCACGGAUUUAAAUCUGUUUGUGGAACUUGGACUCAGGAACUUCUGAGAAUCUAUUUUGUUAUUAGUAUUUGUUGUGAAUAAAUAUUCUUUG